AUGAUAAAUGACAUUUUUGAUCAAGUAAGUGGAAAUAUAGGUAAGUCACUUUAUGCAGACGAUGGAGCACUCUGGGUUAGGGGUCGAAAUCUAGAAUAUCUUAGAAAGAAAAUGCAAAAUGCAAUAGAGAAAGUUGAACAAUGGACUUCUAAAUGGGGAUUUAAACUCUCAAUUCCAAAAACUCAAGUUAUAUGCUUCUCUAAGCGCCACAAAGUAGUACCACUGAAAUUGUAUGGACAGGAUUUGGAUCAGGUUAAGGUGGUGAGGUUUCUAGGAGUUCUCUUUGAUGAGAGGAUGACUUGGUGUCAUCAUAUUGAUAAGGUCAGAAAUAAAUGUAAGAAGAUCAACAACGUGUUGAGAUGUCUAUCAGGGCGAGACUGGGGAGCGAGUAGAGCUUCGCUAAUAAACAUCUAUCAGGCUCUCAUGAGAACUGCCUCUGACUAUGGUUCCUUAGCGUAUAUGUCAGCAUCGGAAUCUAACCUUAAAAAGCCUGAUGUGGAGCAGGCACAGGCACUUCGGAUUUGUACCAGGGCAUUUAAAACAUCACCAGUAACUGCUUUACAGGUGGAAGCAGGAGAGAUGCCGCUACGUAUUAGGAGGGUCAAGAUCAUGUUGGCAUAUUGGACUAAUUUACAAGGACAUCGUAUGGAGCACCCCACAAAAACUGUCUUGCAAGAAUGCACAGAGCAUAAUAAAAGCAGUUUUUACAGUUUCGGAUGGGUGGGGGAUGCUAAGGCUCAAAAUGCAGGUCUCAAUCAGUCGCAAAUAGGGCCCACUGUGGCAAUAUCAACAAUACCACCCUGGAAAUUUAUAAAACCAUCUGUAAAUGUAAGUUUACAACAAAUACUAAAAGAAAACUCAAAAAUAAUGCCGCAAUGGAUAAUAGUUCAAAACUAUGUAGAGCAGUAUCAAGAGGAAUUAUUCAUUUUUACGGAUGGAUCAAAGCAGCCGGAAACAGGCCGUACUGGUGCAGCAUUUUUUAUUCCUUGGUAUGAAGUAGUAGUCAAAAAGAGGACUACAGAUUAUCUGUCAGUUUACAGUGUGGAGUUGAUAACAAUUUUACUGGCAUUAGAGUGGGUGGAAAAAAAUCAUCAGAGUCAAGGUGUUAUUAUAGCCUCAGGCAGUUUAUCAGCAUUAUUAAGCAUUCAGUCUGGAGGGCGUCAUGUAGACAAGACCUCAUUUAUCAAAUACUUCACUUGCUUCUCACACUUCAUAAUGAGGGAGUGGUUGUCUCCUUCCUUUGGGUUCCUGCCCAUGUGGGGGUAG
Long non-coding RNA from Cyprinus carpio (common carp), 1266 nucleotides. The record is from Ensembl. NCBI's taxonomy places the organism in Eukaryota, Metazoa, Chordata, Actinopteri, Cypriniformes, Cyprinidae.